CGCGCAGGCGGUUUUUCAAGUCAGUGGUGAAAGCCCGGAGCUCAACUCCGGAACUGCCAUUGAAACUGUAAGACUUGAGGAUGAGAGAGGUGAGUGGAAUUCCCAGUGUAGAGGUGAAAUUCGUAGAUAUUGGGAAGAACACCGGUGGCGAAGGCGGCUCACUGGCUCAUUUCUGACGCUCAGGCGCGACAGCGUGGGGAUCAAACAGGAUUAGAUACCCUGGUAGUCCACGCCGUAAACGAUGAAUGCUAGCCGUUGGGCAGCUUGCUGUUCAGUGGCGCAGCUAACGCAUUAAGCAUUCCGCCUGGGGAGUACGGCCGCAAGGUUGAA
RNAcentral lists this ribosomal RNA (330 nucleotides) under uncultured bacterium. Its description in RNAcentral is "bacterial SSU rRNA". It matches the Rfam family "Bacterial small subunit ribosomal RNA", at positions 568 to 898 of the family's 1533-position model. The record is from RNAcentral.